ACUAUUUAACGUCUAUAAUGUCACAGUUGUUUGUAGCAUAGCAUUUUCGUAUUAGCGACCUGUUCGGAAUAGCUAGCUUCUAAUGUUAGCGCUUUAAGUAAAGCCAUGUAGAGUUAAAUAAGACAGUGCCUUGUGUUUGUUCAACGGUCUCUGACACAACCCAAGCCAGGACGUCUGUUUUCACGACGACAACGAGGGACUGGGGUUGUUUGAGAAGUCCAACCGUGUGGAAAGGAAGAUGUUGCAGUUGCUAGCUUAGCUAGCUUUGCUUCGGACAACGAACUAACGAACGACCGUCCCGGUGCAUUGGAUGCAAGCUCACACGAGGAUAAAGGAACUGGAGGUGCUUGUGUUGACAUGACAUCAAUGAAGGUAAUUCGUCUCACCAAGUCCUCCCCUCGGAAAUGUCUGACUUGGUGUC
Sardina pilchardus (European sardine) is the source of this 421-nucleotide long non-coding RNA. RefSeq lists it as uncharacterized. Lineage: Eukaryota; Metazoa; Chordata; Actinopteri; Clupeiformes; Clupeidae. The record is from RefSeq and is a predicted model, not a curated record. The transcript has 3 exons.